Molecule: long non-coding RNA, 655 nt
Organism: Drosophila arizonae
Lineage: Eukaryota; Metazoa; Arthropoda; Insecta; Diptera; Drosophilidae
Gene: EcR
Source: RefSeq, a predicted model, not a curated record
AAGAGCAAACAUACAAGUCAGUCUCUUAUUGGCACUCAAUGUGUACAGUUCAGUGGCAACGCAAGUAAAUGAUACGACAUAUUGGGCACAAAGCCGAUGUACGUGCGCGCGACGUAAGCAAGUGCGAAACAUAAAUAUAAUACAAAUAUCAAUCUCUGAGCAACAAAAUAUUAAUAAAUAGAAAAUACAUACAUACAAAAAAUAGUUUAUAACACAAAAUAAUAAAAUAAAAAGGAAAUGAAAGGAGUGCGUGUACAUAAAUAGUUUUACAUAUAUUUUCAUAGUAUAUCUGAGUAUUAUUGUGAGUGUAUGUGCAAUAACAAAUCCUAAUAAUAGUUGCAAAUGCGAAAAAUAAACGUAAAAGUAACUGAUUGCAGUUAGUGCGAAUUAAAAUCAAUCGGUGCGGUCAAUUAAGUAAACGGUUUUCAGAUAAUCUGACGGGAAAGUGUACAAUAAAUUAAAUCGUAAUAUUUCUGUUUUUCUGUGUUCAAUUUGGCAACUUAAGCUAUUUAUAGAUCAUUUGGCAGAUUCUUGCGUCUACAACGGGCAACAUUGUUCAGUGAAAACAAAGCUGAUGUCUACUUAUAAAAGAAAACCCACGAAAGGAGAAAAAAUUGAUGGGAAUAUUGGAAAAAAAUGCGAGAAUCAAUAGCGA